AGCGAACGCUGGCGGCAGGCCUAACACAUGCAAGUCGAACGAACCUUUCGGGGUUAGUGGCGGACGGGUGAGUAACACGUGGGAACGUGCCUUUAGGUUCGGAAUAACUCAGGGAAACUUGUGCUAAUACCGAAUGUGCCCUUCGGGGGAAAGAUUUAUCGCCUUUAGAGCGGCCCGCGUCUGAUUAGCUAGUUGGUUGAGGUAAUGGCUCACCAAGGCGACGAUCAGUAGCUGGUCUGAGAGGAUGAUCAGCCACAUUGGGACUGAGACACGGCCCAAACUCCUACGGGAGGCAGCAGUGGGGAAUCUUGCGCAAUGGGCGAAAGCCUGACGCAGCCAUGCCGCGUGAAUGAUGAAGGUCUUAGGAAUGUAAAAUUCUUUAACCGGGGACGAUAAUGACGGUACCCGGAGAAGAAGCCCCGGCUAACUUCGUG
Molecule: ribosomal RNA, 434 nt
Filed under: uncultured bacterium
Lineage: Bacteria
Description: partial 16S ribosomal RNA
Rfam family: Bacterial small subunit ribosomal RNA
Source: RNAcentral